RNAcentral lists this ribosomal RNA (261 nucleotides) under uncultured archaeon. RNAcentral's name for it is "partial 16S ribosomal RNA". It matches the Rfam family "Archaeal small subunit ribosomal RNA", at positions 748 to 1009 of the family's 1478-position model. The record is from RNAcentral.
UAGCCGUAAACGAUACUCGCUAGGUGUCGGCCACGGUGCGACCGUUGUCGGUGCCGUAGGGAAGCCGUGAAGCGAGCCACCUGGGAAGUACGGCCGCAAGGCUGAAGCUUAAAGAAAUUGGCGGGGGAGCACAACAACGGGUGGAGCUUGCGGUUUAAUUGGAUUCAACGCCGGAAAUCUUACCGGGACCGACAGCAACAUGAAGGCCAAGCUGAAGACUUUGCCGGAUUAGCUGAGAGGAGGUGCAUGGCGUAGUCGUGU